This 254-nucleotide ribosomal RNA is filed under the name uncultured bacterium. RNAcentral's name for it is "partial 16S ribosomal RNA". It matches the Rfam family "Bacterial small subunit ribosomal RNA", at positions 524 to 776 of the family's 1533-position model. The record is from RNAcentral.
UACGUAGGGUGCGAGCGUUAAUCGGAAUUACUGGGCGUAAAGCGUGCGCAGGCGGUUUUGUAAGUCUGUCGUGAAAGCCCCGGGCUCAACCUGGGAAUUGCGAUGGAGACUGCAAGGCUUGAAUCUGGCAGAGGGGGGGUAGAAUUCCACGUGUAGCAGUGAAAUGCGUAGAGAUGUGGAGGAACACCGAUGGCGAAGGCAGCCCCCUGGGUCAAGAUUGACGCUCAUGCACGAAAGCGUGGGGAGCAAACAGG